Molecule: long non-coding RNA, 218 nt
Filed under: Glycine max (soybean)
Lineage: Eukaryota; Viridiplantae; Streptophyta; Magnoliopsida; Fabales; Fabaceae
Description: long non-coding RNA (GMAX_LNC001035)
Source: RNAcentral
UGGGAUAAACUCAUUUUAUUCAGAAAUUUAUAACUAGUCAAGAUUUGAGCGACAAUACAAACUUCCUAGCGGUUUCUAAUUAUAUGGGCCAUUAAGUCUAUCAUAUGCUGACAAUAGCUGAGAAGUCCGUGGAUCUCCUCGGGAGCGGAGUAGGUGUCCGCCAUUGCUUUGGCCUUGGUUAGCAAUCGGGGAAGUUCUUGACUCCCGCUCAAGGUAAG